This is a non-coding RNA of Paramisgurnus dabryanus, 331 nucleotides long. The record is from RefSeq and is a predicted model, not a curated record. Lineage: Eukaryota; Metazoa; Chordata; Actinopteri; Cypriniformes; Cobitidae.
GAACAAAAAAGUCAGACCGAGACUAGAACCACCCGCAGCGUAACAAGGAAAUCUUGGAGCAAAGAGACGCCGAGUGGCUCGUGUUGUGCGGUUUGGAUAUCUGCUGCAAAGCGAACGUUGUGUGUACUAUUGCAAAAUAGCGGAUCUCCCCGGUUAGGAUACAGACCACAACGCUUUGGACGUAUCUUUAAAAAAGAGAAAAAUCAGAGACUUUUUGGAUUUGUCUGGGGACAUUUUAAACAUUUUGUGUCAAAUUGGAUUUAAAACAUUUCGGAUACUGGAUACCUAGUUUGAUUUGUCCACAGAGCUUGUUUAAGACGUUUUCACCUCA